This is a transfer RNA of Ilyobacter polytropus DSM 2926, 74 nucleotides long. It matches the Rfam family "tRNA". From Rfam's summary of the family: Transfer RNA (tRNA) molecules are approximately 80 nucleotides in length. The record is from Rfam. Lineage: Bacteria; Fusobacteriati; Fusobacteriota; Fusobacteriia; Fusobacteriales; Fusobacteriaceae.
GCCUAGAUAGCUCAGUUGGCUAGAGCACACGGUUCAUACCCGUGCGGUCGGUGGUUCGAAUCCACUUCUAGGCA